Molecule: ribosomal RNA, 253 nt
Filed under: uncultured bacterium
Lineage: Bacteria
Description: partial 16S ribosomal RNA
Rfam family: Bacterial small subunit ribosomal RNA
Source: RNAcentral
UACGGGGGGUGCGAGCGUUGUCCGGAAUCACUGGGCGUAAAGGGUGCGUAGGCGGGUCUUUAAGUCAGGGGUGAAAUCCUGGAGCUCAACUCCAGAACUGCCUUUGAUACUGAAGAUCUUGAGUCCGGGAGAGGUGAGUGGAACUGCGAGUGUAGAGGUGAAAUUCGUAGAUAUUCGCAAGAACACCAGUGGCGAAGGCGGCUCACUGGCCCGGUACUGACGCUGAGGCACGAAAGCGUGGGGAGCAAACAGG